GACUUCUGGUUUAAUGCACCUGGCCCGCGGUCUUUUAGACCUGUGAGUGCCGGCGCGCGUUUACCAUCCUUCUAGGAAACAAGUCUUCCCUUAACUGGGCCGGAUUUGGGAUCUAGAUCAUUUACUUUGAAAAAAUUAGAGUGUUUAAAGCAGGCUUAUGCUAUGAAUACAUUAGCAUGGAAUAAUAAUCUAGGACUUCGGUUCUAUUUUGUUGGUUUCUAUAACUGAAGUAAUGAUUGAUAGGGAUAGUUGGGGGUGCUAGUAUUGGCCGGUCAGAGGUGAAAUUCUUGGAUUCGGUCAAGACUAACUUAUGCGAAAGCAUU
RNAcentral lists this ribosomal RNA (323 nucleotides) under Rhogostoma sp. Its description in RNAcentral is "SSU rRNA". The stretch from base 56 to 323 matches the Rfam family "Eukaryotic small subunit ribosomal RNA", at positions 686 to 955 of the family's 1831-position model. Lineage: Eukaryota; Cercozoa; Thecofilosea; Cryomonadida; Rhogostomidae. RNAcentral also lists the same sequence under 2 other names. The record is from RNAcentral.